GCUUACGGCCAUAUCAGCCUGGGUACGCCCGAUCUCGUCUGAUCUCGGAAGCUAUGCAGGGUCGGGCCUGGUUAGUACUUGGAUGGGAGACCGCCUGGGAAUACCAUGUGCUGUAAGCA
This 119-nucleotide ribosomal RNA is filed under the name Salmo salar (Atlantic salmon). Lineage: Eukaryota; Metazoa; Chordata; Actinopteri; Salmoniformes; Salmonidae. The record is from RNAcentral.